GGGGGUAUAGUAAAGUGGUAUUACGCAGCAUUCGCAUUGCUGAGGCUCGGGUUCGAUUCCCGAUACCUCCACCA
This 74-nucleotide transfer RNA is filed under the name Candidatus Doudnabacteria bacterium RIFCSPHIGHO2_01_FULL_46_14. RNAcentral describes it as "tRNA-Ala". It matches the Rfam family "tRNA". Rfam says of the family: Transfer RNA (tRNA) molecules are approximately 80 nucleotides in length. Lineage: Bacteria; Candidatus Doudnaibacteriota. The record is from RNAcentral.